RNAcentral lists this ribosomal RNA (406 nucleotides) under uncultured bacterium. RNAcentral's name for it is "partial 16S ribosomal RNA". It matches the Rfam family "Bacterial small subunit ribosomal RNA", at positions 30 to 526 of the family's 1533-position model. The record is from RNAcentral.
AUUGAACGCUGGAGGCAGGCCUAACACAUGCAAGUCGAGCGAGCGGCGGACGGGUGAGUAAUGUCUGGGAAACUGCCUGAUGGAGGGGGAUAACUACUGGAAACGGUAGCUAAUCCCGCAUACCAUCAGAUGUGCCCAGAUGGGAGUAGAUAGUAGGUGGGGUAACGGCUCACCUAGGCGACGAUCCCUAGCUGGUCUGAGAGGAUGAACAGACACACUGGAACUGAGACACGGCCCAGAAUCCUACGUGAGGCAGCAGUGGGGAAUAUUGCACAAUGGGCGAAAGCCUGAUGCAGCCAUGCCGCGUGUGUGAAGAAGGCCUUCGGGUUGUAAAGCACUUUCAGCGGGGAGGCGUUACCCGCAGAAGAAGCACCGGCUAACUCCGUGCCAGCAGCCGCGGUAAUUC